RNAcentral lists this ribosomal RNA (253 nucleotides) under uncultured bacterium. Its description in RNAcentral is "partial 16S ribosomal RNA". It matches the Rfam family "Archaeal small subunit ribosomal RNA", at positions 474 to 727 of the family's 1478-position model. The record is from RNAcentral.
UACCAGCACCCCGAGUGGUCGGGACGUUUAUUGGGCCUAAAGCAUCCGUAGCCGGUUCUACAAGUCUUCCGUUAAAUCCACCUGCUUAACAGAUGGGCUGCGGAAGAUACUAUAGGGCUAGGAGGCGGGAGAGGCAAGCGGUACUCAGUGGGUAGGGGUAAAAUCCUCUGAUCCAUUGAAGACCACCAGUGGCGAAGGCGGCUUGCCAGAACGCGCUCGACGGUGAGGGAUGAAAGCUGGGGGAGCAAACCGG